GUUGACGGGGGCCCGGCACAAGACGGAGGAGCAUGUGGUUUAAUUCGUAUGAUACGCGAGGAACCUUACCUGGGCUUAAAUGCUUAAUGACGUACUGGGAAACUAGGUAUUUCUUCGGACAUUUUGCAAGGUGCUGCAUGGUUGUCGUCAGCUCGUGCCGUGAGGUGUCGGGUUAAGUCCCAUAACGAGCGCAACCCCUAUUGUUAGUUGCCAUCAGGUCAUGCUGGGGACUCUAACAAAACUGCCCGCGUAAGCGUGGAGGAAGGUGGGGAUGACGUCAAAUCAGCACGGCCCUUACGUCCAGGGCUACACACGUGCUACAAUGGCCGGUACAGAGGGCAGCCACUUGGUGACAAGGAGCAAAUCUCAAAAGCCGGUCUCAGUUCGGAUCGGAGUCUGCAACUCGACUCCGUGAAGUUGGAUUCGCUAGUAAUCGUAGAUCAGCAAUGCUACGGUGAAUACGUUCCCGGGCCUU
Molecule: ribosomal RNA, 475 nt
Filed under: uncultured Bacteroidota bacterium
Lineage: Bacteria; Pseudomonadati; Bacteroidota
Description: bacterial SSU rRNA
Rfam family: Bacterial small subunit ribosomal RNA
Source: RNAcentral